RNAcentral lists this ribosomal RNA (253 nucleotides) under uncultured bacterium. RNAcentral's name for it is "partial 16S ribosomal RNA". It matches the Rfam family "Bacterial small subunit ribosomal RNA", at positions 524 to 776 of the family's 1533-position model. The record is from RNAcentral.
UACAGAGGGGGCAAGCGUUGUUCGGAAUUACUGGGCGUAAAGGGCGCGUAGGCGGCCUGCUAAGUCGAACGUGAAAUCCCCGGGCUCAACCCGGGAACUGCGUCCGAUACUGGUGGGCUUGAAUUCGGGAGAGGGAUGUGGAAUUCCAGGUGUAGCGGUGAAAUGCGUAGAUAUCUGGAGGAACACCGGUGGCGAAGGCGGCAUCCUGGACCGAGAUUGACGCUGAGGCGCGAAAGCUAGGGGAGCAAACGGG